RNAcentral lists this ribosomal RNA (603 nucleotides) under Exserohilum rostratum. RNAcentral's name for it is "eukaryotic LSU rRNA". It matches the Rfam family "Eukaryotic large subunit ribosomal RNA", at positions 50 to 664 of the family's 3401-position model. The record is from RNAcentral. Lineage: Eukaryota; Fungi; Ascomycota; Dothideomycetes; Pleosporales; Pleosporaceae.
GCGGAGGAAAAGAAACCAACAGGGAUUGCCCUAGUAACGGCGAGUGAAGCGGCAACAGCUCAAAUUUGAAAUCUGGCUCUUUCAGAGUCCGAGUUGUAAUUUGCAGAGGGCGCUUUGGCUUUGGCAGCGGUCCAAGUUCCUUGGAACAGGACGUCACAGAGGGUGAGAAUCCCGUACGUGGUCGCUAGCUAUUGCCGUGUAAAGCCCCUUCGACGAGUCGAGUUGUUUGGGAAUGCAGCUCUAAAUGGGAGGUAAAUUUCUUCUAAAGCUAAAUAUUGGCCAGAGACCGAUAGCGCACAAGUAGAGUGAUCGAAAGAUGAAAAGCACUUUGGAAAGAGAGUCAAACAGCACGUGAAAUUGUUGAAAGGGAAGCGCUUGCAGCCAGACUUGCUUGCAGUUGCUCAUCCGGGCUUUUGCCCGGUGCACUCUUCUGCAGGCAGGCCAGCAUCAGUUUGGGCGGUGGGAUAAAGGUCUCUGUCAUGUACCUCUCUUCGGGGAGGCCUUAUAGGGGAGGCGACAUACCACCAGCCUAGACUGAGGUCCGCGCAUCUGCUAGGAUGCUGGCGUAAUGGCUGUAAGCGGCCCGUCUUGAAACACGGGACC